RNAcentral lists this ribosomal RNA (645 nucleotides) under uncultured bacterium. RNAcentral describes it as "bacterial SSU rRNA". It matches the Rfam family "Bacterial small subunit ribosomal RNA", at positions 232 to 885 of the family's 1533-position model. The record is from RNAcentral.
CGCGGCCUAUCAGCUUGUUGGUGGGGUGAUGGCCUACCAAGGCGGUGACGGGUAGCCGGCCUGAGAGGGCGACCGGCCACACUGGGACUGAGACACGGCCCAGACUCCUACGGGAGGCAGCAGUGGGGAAUAUUGCACAAUGGGCGCAAGCCUGAUGCAGCGACGCCGCGUGAGGGAUGACGGCCUUCGGGUUGUAAACCUCUUUCGCCAGGGACGAAGGGUGAUACUGACGGUACCUGGAGAAGAAGCACCGGCUAACUACGUGCCAGCAGCCGCGGUAAUACGUAGGGUCCGAGCGUUGUCCGGAAUUAUUGGGCGUAAAGAGCUCGUAGGCGGUGUGUCACGUCUGCUGUGAGAGACCGGGGCUUAACUUCGGUUUUGCAGUGGAUACGGGCAUGCUUGAGGUAGGUAGGGGAGACUGGAAUUCCUGGUGUAGCGGUGAAAUGCGCAGAUAUCAGGAGGAACACCGGUGGCGAAGGCGGGUCUCUGGGCCUUACCUGACGCUGAGGAGCGAAAGCAUGGGGAGCGAACAGGGUUAGAUACCCUGGUAGUCCACGCCGUAAACGGUGGGCGCUAGGUGUGGGAUGCUGUUCACGUGUCCCGUGCCGUAGCUAACGCAUUAAGCGCCCCGCCUGGGGAGUACGG